This 198-nucleotide unclassified non-coding RNA is filed under the name uncultured Candida. RNAcentral's name for it is "sequence contains ITS2". The stretch from base 1 to 52 matches the Rfam family "5.8S ribosomal RNA", at positions 103 to 154 of the family's 154-position model. The record is from RNAcentral. Lineage: Eukaryota; Fungi; Ascomycota; Saccharomycetes; Saccharomycetales.
AACGCACAUUGCGCCCUGUGGUAUUCCACAGGGCAUGCCUGUUUGAGCGUCAUUUCUCCCUCAAACCUCUGGUUUGGCGUUGAGUGAUACUCGGUUUACUUGAAAUACAUGAAAAGCAUAACUAUUAGGUUUUACCAACUCGUUAUACUAAUCUACAAGUUUGACCUCAAAUCAGGUAGGACUACCCGCUGAACUUAA